Long non-coding RNA from Myotis brandtii (Brandt's bat), 476 nucleotides. RefSeq lists it as uncharacterized. NCBI's taxonomy places the organism in Eukaryota, Metazoa, Chordata, Mammalia, Chiroptera, Vespertilionidae. The record is from RefSeq and is a predicted model, not a curated record. The transcript is spliced from 3 exons.
GCCUCUCCCUCCUCCAUCCCGGGGUCCCCGGGCCGCCACCCUCGGGGCCAGCCCCUGCCCGCCAGCUGCUUCCUUUGCAGGCAACGCCGUCGCCUCCUACAGAGCGUUGCGCUCCCUGAGACCCCGAGUCUUCGCUGGGGAACAGCAAAGGAUUUGAAGAAGGGUUACGUUUUGUUUGGGAAUGUGAAUACCUGUUGUGCUGUAAUAGUCAAAACUGGAGUUUCCAGGAGGAGAGGGCGCCUCUGGAUUUGAUGACCGGAAGUCAUGUCUGGAUCGAGUGCAAGCCGGACCCACCACUAGCUGGAGCCUUUAUUUGGAAAGUCGGAGUUCUUGUGAGAACUACAUGAGUUAUAUGUAAAGCUGUACCACAGCCUGCACAAUGUAGCCAGAGACCUUAAAACUUUCCACAGCUGCCCUAGCUGGCUUGGCUCAGUGGAUAGAGUAUUGGCCUGCAGACUGAAGAGUUGUGGGUUCAA